RNAcentral lists this ribosomal RNA (353 nucleotides) under uncultured bacterium. Its description in RNAcentral is "bacterial SSU rRNA". It matches the Rfam family "Bacterial small subunit ribosomal RNA", at positions 28 to 407 of the family's 1533-position model. The record is from RNAcentral.
GAUGAACGCUGGCGGUGUGCCUAAUACAUGCAAGUCGAACGGGAUCUUCGGAUCUAGUGGCGAACGGGUGAGUAACACGUUGGUACCUACCCCGAAGUGGGGAAUAACUGCCCGAAAGGGUGGCUAAUACCGCAUAAUACCGCAAGGUUAAAGCAGUAAUGCGCUUCGGGAGGGGCCUGCGUCCCAUUAGCUAGUUGGUAGGGUAAUGGCCUACCAAGGCGACGAUGGGUAGCUGGAUCGAGAGGUUGACCAGCCACACUGGGACUGAGAUACGGCCCAGACUCCUACGGGAGGCAGCAGUAAGGAAUCUUCCACAAUGGACGAAAGUCUGAUGGAGCAACACCGCGUGCAGG